UACGUAGGGUGCGAGCGUUAAUCGGAAUUAUUGGGCGUAAAGGGUGCGUAGGUGGUUUGAUAAGUUAGGUGUGAAAGUCCUGGGCUUAACCUGGGGAUUGCGCCUAAUACUGUUAGGCUAGAGUACUGUAGAGGAAGGUGGAAUUUCCGGUGUAGCGGUGAAAUGCGUAGAUAUCGGAAGGAACAUCAGUGGCGAAGGCGACCUUCUGGACAGAUACUGACACUGAGGCACGAAAGCGUGGGGAGCAAACAGG
This 253-nucleotide ribosomal RNA is filed under the name uncultured bacterium. RNAcentral describes it as "partial 16S ribosomal RNA". It matches the Rfam family "Bacterial small subunit ribosomal RNA", at positions 524 to 776 of the family's 1533-position model. The record is from RNAcentral.